Molecule: long non-coding RNA, 1343 nt
Filed under: Coturnix japonica (Japanese quail)
Lineage: Eukaryota; Metazoa; Chordata; Aves; Galliformes; Phasianidae
Description: lncRNA (ENSCJPG00005000969.1)
Source: RNAcentral
AUGCAGCCCCCCACUGCAGGGCAGAGGGGUGUUGGGGGUCUGCCAGCAGUGGAGAGGGGAGUUGGGGGCACACAAGGGCUCCCCAUCUGCUGCGGGCAGGACUUGGCCAGGGGAGCCACAGUUGGGCUUUGGCUGCCUGCUGGCACCGCUGGGCCUGCUGUGCCCCAUCCCUGCAAGUUGCUCACUGCUGUUACUCUCUCCAGCAUGUGUGUUCUGUGGCCGGGUGGACGUGGACCUCGGCAUCACUGGGAACAAAUACGUGAUGAAGGGGAUCUAUUUCCAUACUUUUUGUGUGAAGUCCAAUGUGGGAGGAAAACGAUGCCUAUGCAUCUCUGGGAGGAAGACAUAGGUGCUGUGAUGCCAACGAAUGCCGUUACCCACAGGGCCGGGAACAGGCAGAGGAAGUGGGGUGAGUUACCUCUGUGUGGCAUCGCAGCCUCACCACGGGCUGGGGGAGCACAGACUGAGCACCAGAGCUGUGCCGGGCACUCCCUGGCUCACGGCACUUUGUCCUCACGGCCACAACCUGUUGCUUUCCACAGGCCCUGGCAGCUGCUCCUCUGCAGCUCCUGUGCUGCACGAGGAACACACCGCCGCUGCUCCAACGUGAGUCAGGGCACAACGAGCUGGGAGUGCGACAGCUGUGCUGGAGAGGGCACCGGUAAGAGGCAAACAGCCGCGUGCUGCUGGGCUGGGGACAGGAGAGGCAUUGCUCAAGUCUCUUUGGCCCAGGAUGGAUGGGAGCCUGUCCCAUCUCGGGGCUGGAGUUUCACCCCUCUCAGCUCUUUGCUUCUCCUUUCAGGCCCCAGCACCAACUAGGAUCUUGCCAGCCAUAGCACCACCAGCCGGCAGGAACUGGGGCCAUUCUGAGGCUCCAUAGCACUGGAGAGAAGCAGGUCCAGCUUCUACUCUGUACCACCGAGUAGUUCCCGUGUUCCUGAGAACAGCAUCCUCUCCAGACAGCGCAGGGAGGACAGAAGGAGAAUAUACCCACAUGUCAUAUCCCGGAUGGUCUAGUGCUUUGGAUCCUGCGCUCUCACUGCUGGGACCAGGGUUUGAUUCUGGAACCAUCCUCUGCAAUAUAGUUUUCUUCUGAGAGCUGAUAUUUGAGAUGUUGUUAUUCCAUGGAACUGGACUUUUUAAUGAUCCAUAUGAAUCACAUAUGGAUGUGAUACCACAUCAUAUGUUAUAUGUGGAAUAUUGACAGCAACAUUACAAAACCGUGACACUGCGUUUACAGUGGGAUGAGAAUAUUGAUGCCGUAGGAGCAGCCGUGUACAAGCUCCCCUUCCUAUCCAAUGUCAUCUGAAUCCAUCCCAAUAAAACUUAAUUCCUUCAUGCCA